CACGUAGGGCGCAAGCGUUGUCCGGAAUUAUUGGGCGUAAAGAGCUCGUAGGCGGUCUGUUGCGUCCGCUGUGAAAACCCGGGGCUUAACCCUGGGCUGGCAGUGGAUACGGACAGACUAGAGGUAGGUAGGGGAGAAUGGAAUUCCCGGUGUAGCGGUGAAAUGCGUAGAUAUCAAGAGGAACACCGGCGGCGAAGGCGGGUUGCUGGGCCGACACUGACGCUGAGGCGCGAAAGCCAGGGGAGCGAACGGG
This 253-nucleotide ribosomal RNA is filed under the name uncultured bacterium. RNAcentral's name for it is "partial 16S ribosomal RNA". It matches the Rfam family "Bacterial small subunit ribosomal RNA", at positions 524 to 776 of the family's 1533-position model. The record is from RNAcentral.